Molecule: ribosomal RNA, 1095 nt
Filed under: uncultured bacterium
Lineage: Bacteria
Description: bacterial SSU rRNA
Rfam family: Bacterial small subunit ribosomal RNA
Source: RNAcentral
UGCAGUCGAGGGGCAGCACGGGAAUAGUUUACUAGACCUGGUGGCGACCGGCGCACGGGUGCGUAACGCGUAUGCAACUUCACGAGGUCUGCAGCCCGACUUCGUGAAGUUGGAUUCACCAGCACUCACUCAUCAUCCAUCGCGCGGUGAAUACGUUCCCGGGUCUUGUACACGCCGAGCAUGCGUCCCAUUAGCUAGAUGGUGAGGUAACGGCUCACCAUGGCGACGAUGGGUAGGGGGCCUGAGAGGGUGAUCCCCCACACUGGUACUGAGACACGGACCAGACUCCUACGGGAGGCAGCAGUGAGGAAUAUUGGUCAAUGGACGCAAGUCUGAACCAGCCAUGCCGCGUGCAGGAAGAAUGCCCUAUGGGUUGUAAACUGCUUUUAUUCGGGAAUAAACCCUUUUACGUGUAAGAGGCUGAAGGUACCGAAUGAAUAAGCACCGGCUAACUCCGUGCCAGCAGCCGCGGUAAUACGGAGGAUGCAAGCGUUAUCCGGAUUUACUGGGUUUAAAGGGUGCGCAGGCGGAACAAUCAGUCAGUGGUGAAAUCUCCCGGCUUAACCGGGAAACUGCCGUUGAUACUAUUGUUCUUGAGUCCAGUUGAAGUAGGCGGAAUGUAGCAUGUAGCGGUGAAAUGCUUAGAUAUGCUACAGAACACCGAUAGCGAAGGCAGCUUACUAAACUGAAACUGACGCUCAGGCACGAAAGCGUGGGUAGCAAGCAGGAUUAGAUACCCUGGUAGUCCACGCCCUAAACUAUGAUCACUCGUUGUUGGCAAUAUAUCGUCAGCGACUAAGCGAAAGCAUUAAGUGAUCCACCUGGGGAGUACGAUCGCAAGGUUGAAACUCAAAGGAAUUGACGGGGGCCCGCACAAGCGGAGGAGCAUGUGGUUUAAUUCGAUGAUACGCGAGGAACCUUACCUGGGCUAGAACGCAGAACGAUGUUUCGGGAAACCGGAAUUCUCUUCGGAGCGGUCUGCGAGGUGCUGCAUGGUUGUCGUCAGCUCGUGCCGUGAGGUGUCGGGUUAAGUCCCAUAACGAGCGCAACCCCUAUUCUUAGUUGCCAUCAGGUAAUGCUGGGGACUCUAGGAAA